UACGGAGGGUGCGAGCGUUGUCCGGAAUCAUUGGGCGUAAAGGGCGCGUAGGUGGCCCGGUCAGUCUUUGGUGAAAGCGCGGGGCUCAACCCUGCGUCGGCCAGGGAUACUGCCGCGGCUGGAGCACUGUAGAGGCAGGCGGAAUUCCGGGUGUAGCGGUGGAAUGCGUAGAGAUCGGGAAGAACAUCAGUGGCGAAGGCGGGUCUCUGGACAGUUCCUGACACUGAGGCACGAAGGCCAGGGGAGCAAACGGG
Molecule: ribosomal RNA, 254 nt
Filed under: uncultured bacterium
Lineage: Bacteria
Description: partial 16S ribosomal RNA
Rfam family: Bacterial small subunit ribosomal RNA
Source: RNAcentral